AUACUUAACUGACGCGAGAGGCACCUUGAUCAACUAGGAGGUCCUCUCAGGAUGAGGCCCUUUCAUUGCACUUCGACUGGGUUGACUCCUGCGAUUACCCCUAAUGUGGGUAACUCGAGCGUAUAAUUUCUGGUAGUGGGGACCUGCGUUCGCGCUCGUCCCCU
This 164-nucleotide small nuclear RNA is filed under the name Dendronephthya gigantea. RNAcentral describes it as "U1 spliceosomal RNA". It matches the Rfam family "U1 spliceosomal RNA". Rfam says of the family: U1 is a small nuclear RNA (snRNA) component of the spliceosome (involved in pre-mRNA splicing). Lineage: Eukaryota; Metazoa; Cnidaria; Anthozoa; Malacalcyonacea; Nephtheidae. The record is from RNAcentral.